Molecule: ribosomal RNA, 217 nt
Filed under: uncultured bacterium
Lineage: Bacteria
Description: partial 16S ribosomal RNA
Rfam family: Bacterial small subunit ribosomal RNA
Source: RNAcentral
GACGAACGCUGGCGGCGUGCUUAACACAUGCAAGUCGAGCGGUAAGGCCCUUUCGGGGGUACGACGAGCGGCGAACGGGUGAGUAACACGUGGGUGACCUGCCCUCAGCUCUGGGAUAAGCCUGGGAAACCGGGUCUAAUACUGGAUAUGACUCCAUGACGCAUGUUGUGGGGUGGAAANCCUUGUGCGGCUGAGGAUGGGCCCGCGGCCUAUCAGC